UACUAUGUGAUAAUUGUGGAGGAAACACUGCUCCGUCGUCUGAGAAAUUUGAAUGAGAAAGUGUGUUCAUCCUUGAAACGAGUGCAAUGAAUGAGAGGAGCAGGUGGUGCAUUGUUCGUGCUUGACAAUUAUUAUUAUCAAGCAGACGUUGGUCAUGACAACACAAUCGAGGGAUGCAAAUCUAAGAAGAAAAUGACAAAGUUGGUGACGAAACUGAUGAAAAAAAUGAACAACUGAAGAUAAUAUUGUGCAUGAAGGAACAUAGGAAGCAUCCAUGUUAGUUAGGGCAAGAUCUUGCACACUACGUACCCUAUGGGGUGGACCCAUGAUGAGACCUUACCAGGAGGGGCUUUUGCACUUCAAGGCUCUGUAAAGUUUUCGAUGUUAU
Molecule: long non-coding RNA, 388 nt
Filed under: Phaseolus vulgaris (common bean)
Lineage: Eukaryota; Viridiplantae; Streptophyta; Magnoliopsida; Fabales; Fabaceae
Description: long non-coding RNA (PVUL_LNC004513)
Source: RNAcentral